RNAcentral lists this small RNA (104 nucleotides) under Marmota monax (woodchuck). Lineage: Eukaryota; Metazoa; Chordata; Mammalia; Rodentia; Sciuridae. The record is from RNAcentral.
GCCAGGCGUGGUGGAGCUCACCUGUCAUUCCAGCAACUGGGGGAGGCAGAGGCAGGAGAAUGGCAAGUGACCAGCCUGGGCAAUUUAGUAAGACUCUAUCUCAA